This 521-nucleotide ribosomal RNA is filed under the name uncultured Actinomyces sp. Its description in RNAcentral is "bacterial SSU rRNA". It matches the Rfam family "Bacterial small subunit ribosomal RNA", at positions 63 to 588 of the family's 1533-position model. Lineage: Bacteria; Bacillati; Actinomycetota; Actinomycetes; Actinomycetales; Actinomycetaceae. The record is from RNAcentral.
CGAGCGACGCAUUCCCGGUUCGUAAGAACUGGGUCUGACGGAGCGGCGAACGGGUGAGUAACACGUGAGCAACCUGCCCCGAAGACCGAGGAUAGCCCAGGGAAACCUGGAUUAAUACCGGAUACCCUCUCUAGACCACAUGGUCAUGAGAGGAAAAGCCUUUGUGCUUUGGGAUGGGCUCGCGGCUUAUCAGCUAGUUGGUGGGGUAACGGCCUACCAAGGCAAUGACGAGUAGCUGGUCUGAGAGGACGAUCAGCCACACUGGAACUGAGACACGGCCCAGACUAAUACGGGAGGCAGCAGCAGGGAAUCUUGCGCAAUGGGCGAAAGCCUGACGCAGCGACACCGCGUGGGGGAUGAAGGCCUUCGGGUCGUAAACCCCUUUCAGGAGGGAAGAAAUUGACGGUACCUCCAGAAGAAGGACCGGCCAACUACGUGCCAGCAGCCGCGGUAAUACGUAGGGUCCUAGCGUUAUCCGGAAUCAUUGGGCGUAAAGAGCUCGUUAGGCGGUUCCAGCAAGU